UACGAAAGGGGCUAGCGUUUUUCGGAAUUAAUGGGCGUAAAGCGCACGUAGGCGGCCUUGUAAGAUGGGGGUGAAAUCCCCGGGCUCAACCCGUGAACUGCCUUCAUGACUGCAAAGCUAGAGGAUGCGAGAGGUUAGCGGAAUUCCGAGUGUAGAGGUGAAAUUCGUAGAUAUUCGGAAGAACACCAGUGGCGAAGGCGGCUAACUGGCGCAUUUCUGACGCUGAGGUGCGAAAGCGUGGGGAGCAAACAGG
This 253-nucleotide ribosomal RNA is filed under the name uncultured bacterium. Its description in RNAcentral is "partial 16S ribosomal RNA". It matches the Rfam family "Bacterial small subunit ribosomal RNA", at positions 524 to 776 of the family's 1533-position model. The record is from RNAcentral.